Molecule: ribosomal RNA, 301 nt
Filed under: uncultured bacterium
Lineage: Bacteria
Description: partial 16S ribosomal RNA
Rfam family: Bacterial small subunit ribosomal RNA
Source: RNAcentral
CAGUCGCCGCGGUAAAACGGAGGGUGCAAGCGUUAAUCGGAAUUACUGGGCGUAAAGCGUGCGUAGGCGGUUCGUUAAGUCUGUUGUGAAAGCCCCGGGCUCAACCUGGGAAUGGCAAUGGAUACUGGCGAGCUAGAGUGUGUCAGAGGAUGGUGGAAUUCCCGGUGUAGCGGUGAAAUGCGUAGAGAUCGGGAGGAACACCAGUGGCGAAGGCGGCCAUCUGGGACAACACUGACGCUGAGGCACGAAAGCGUGGGGAGCAAACAGGAUUAGAUACCCCGGUAGUCCCUGUCUCUUAUAA